Non-coding RNA from Coffea arabica (coffee), 1553 nucleotides. NCBI's taxonomy places the organism in Eukaryota, Viridiplantae, Streptophyta, Magnoliopsida, Gentianales, Rubiaceae. The record is from RefSeq and is a predicted model, not a curated record.
AGCAGGGUGAUCGAGGAGUAUGGUUUGGUGCUAAUCUACUAUUUACUACGAGUACUUAGGAUGUGGCUACGAAUUGAUGAUGCAUGUACAUAAAGAAGAUGAUCCAUCAAGGAGUUCUCGUGGAAUUCCUUAAAUUGGCUGCGGGUGCGUCCUGCAGUCCAUCAUCAAUAUUAUGCAUAUAGUCUACUAGGCUGUAACUGGGCGAAGCAGCAAGAAACCUUCCCCGGCUGUUUCAGCUGGAUGUAGUGCGUGUCCCAAAGUAAUUGGAUGGAUUCUUGAGCCUUCUAACCCCAGCCCAGCUGCUUCCACUCUUUGCUCACCCAAGUCCUCCCUUUUAGCCUACGCUUAAAAAGUCAAGUUGCUCAAAGAAGUCUAGUUAAAAAGUUGUAAUAGUAGUUUUUAGUUUACUAGAUUGCCAGCCAGCCAAUUCAAUCACUUCCAGAUACACGGAAUAUCAUCCAUCUUCUCUCCCUCUCUUAUAUAUUCAACGCCUUGCACUACCAUAUCAUGCCUUCUUUUCUACUGCUUAAUAUUACUCCGUCAAUCAUCGAUUCAUCGUCACCGGAGCGGUGUUAUCCAGAGUUCAGUCUCACCAAACCUUGAUGGAAUCAUCAUCAUACAAGGAAGGCAGAGAUGCAGCAGAGUAUAAGAGAAGAUUCCCGAGGAGAGUACUGGGGACGUGGAUAUCUUGCCUGGCUUCAUUUUCAGUAAGCAUGGUAGGCGGGCUAAUGUUGACCCAUUGGGAGCUCAGGCAUCAUCGCACCAACAGUCAACUAUGGAUGGUGCCCUUCGGCCUCAUUUUGUUGGUCACUCCCGCAAUUGUUUGGUUGUCAAUUUUCAUCUCACAUAUAUUCAGCUCCAAUGAAGGUGAAGAAGAUCAUAAAGAUGGUGGCGACCUGCACCCAGCAGUUGACACCACGGUCGUUAUAUCCUCUGAUGAUCCCGACAGAUGAUGCAUAAAAUUCAUCAAUCGGAUUUUGAUUUCGGCGGCUUUUGAAGUGUCUUCGCAGAGUCCAUUUAUCGAAACACUCAUACAAAAAACUGUGAGUUAUGAAAGGGAUUUUGAUUUCGGCGGUGAGUCCCACCUUCUCUUCCCCCCAUCACCAUCCAUCCAUCUUCCCCACACCCUCUGUCCCCCAGCAAGAGAGAGAGAGAGAGAGAGAGAGUGCAUAUCAUCAGAGGAUGGGUUGGUCUUGUUCUGUGGAAUUGUUUAAUGAGUUUGUUGCUAGUUGCUGCUACCCAAGAAAAAAAAGGGGGGGAUAAUACCUGAAGUUCGUUGGUUGUCAUGCGAUGCGGAUUAUGGCUGAUUGCUGGAAUGAUAAGUAAUACGUACUACAAAAAAAAAACAGCAGCCAACAGGAAAAGAAUCCUCUUAGAUACAGAUAAACUCCAACAUGCUCCAUGAAAAUAGGGGGAUUAAAAUUGCUACUGGCAUCUAUCGUUCUAACAAAUCGAGAUUACUCAGGGAGCAGCGGCAUUUUUAUUUACGAGAAGUAACUGAGUUGAAUAUUCGAAUAUUCAAUAAGAAGUUUUUGUAGCUUGUUCAAGUUCAA